Long non-coding RNA from Manis javanica (Malayan pangolin), 1111 nucleotides. RefSeq lists it as uncharacterized. The record is from RefSeq and is a predicted model, not a curated record. Lineage: Eukaryota; Metazoa; Chordata; Mammalia; Pholidota; Manidae.
CCCACCCACAAUCCAGGAAAACAUUUCAAAAGGAAGAACUGCAGGGCAACCCUGCCUUCUCUGUAUCCUCCUGAUGCUCCCUUCCUCCUUUACACUCUCAAAGAUUCAGUGUCUUCAAAAUGAAGGCACUGCUAGAGGAGCAGUCCGGUGGGGGCCUCUCUGGAUAGGCCGUAUGGGGUCACAUUUCACAGUCUCCUCAUUCAGAGCAUUGGGAUGGCAGCAAAGGGAAGUUCACAAGAAUUCUAAAAAUCCAGGAAAGUUAAGUAUCUCUGCCUUGUCCUUUUGAGACUGGAGUCAGGGAUCUGGAACUAGGACACAGGUGCAAACACAUCAGAAUGAGGAACAGGACCCUGGAGAAUAUUUAAUGUCCCUACAAGACAGGCAGGAUCUGGGUUUUGCAGUCUCUUUCCCAAGGGCUCCAAAUAGAAAAGGAGAGAAGAGAGACUGAAGGAGGAAAAUGGGAGAUGGGGCCGAGGAGAAGCAAGCAACAUCAAUUCACAGCUGCGGUGUAUCCGUUUUUCUCGGUCUCCAGCGGUCUGAGUGGUUCUAACUACCUGAUGGAGGAGCUUCUGGUUCCUGCCCUAGAACUUCUCUGAUACUGAAGAGUGACCCACGGAUUCUCUGGACACUCACGCGUGGGAAAACAGGAAGUCCAGGGAGUUAAUAUCCAUGGGGUCAUUCUUGACCGAGUGGGAUGGUAGCCAAUGAAAAAAUGCUUCUUUCUUUUGUAUUUGGCCAACAGUUCUGAGAUGCUGUCUCGUCAGUGGGUUUCAGCCCCAGAGGGAGAGCGCCACAUGGCAAGGAAUGCAGAUGGCCUGCAGUUGCUGGGAACAGCCCCCAGCCUACAGCCAGCAAAGAAAUGGAGUCUGAGACCUACAAUUGUGCGGAAUUAAAUUCUACUAUAACCAGUUAAGCCUGGAAGAGGACUCUGAGCUCCUAAUGAGAAUGCAACUUGGUCUGCAUCUUGAUUUCUUCAGUCUUUUGAGAACCUGAACAAUGAACCCAGCCAUACUAGGGUGGACUUCUGACCUACAGACUGUGUCCUGAGAAAUAGGUGUUGUUUUAAGUCACUCAAUUUGUGGUAAUUUGUUACACAGUAAUAAAAACAGUU